RNAcentral lists this unclassified non-coding RNA (1004 nucleotides) under Homo sapiens (human). RNAcentral's name for it is "ribonuclease kappa transcript variant 11". Lineage: Eukaryota; Metazoa; Chordata; Mammalia; Primates; Hominidae. The record is from RNAcentral.
AUGGGAUGGUUGAGGCCGGGGCCACGCCCCCUCUGCCCCCCUGCGAGGGCAUCCUGGGCUUUCUCCCACCGCUUUCCGAGCCCGCUUGCACCUCGGCGAUCCCCGACUCCCUUCUUUAUGGCGUCGCUCCUGUGCUGUGGGCCGAAGCUGGCCGCCUGCGGCAUCGUCCUCAGCGCCUGGGGAGUGAUCAUUAAUCCACCCACCGCCACUUCAAGAAGAAAUGAUAUGAAGAAGUGCCGGUUCUCCCUCCCCUCUUCCGCACUGUCCCGUGAUGAUGACGCCUCCAGAGAGGACGAUAAUCUGGGUUCCUGGGAGAGAUGGCUUGGUCACUAUUCCCACCCUUGCCUCGACCACUUGUCUCAAUGUCACCACCUCACGCCCUGUUCCAGGUGGCUGAGUCCGAAUCCAGUAACCACCACCUCGUUUUGGUUAAUCUCAGGCUCGGGUGUUGUAGCAACAUUGGAAAUGGGAGGGGUUUACGAAGUGAACAUGAGGUCAGGUGCCUGAAUUCAACAGUCUACCCAUUCCCCUUUUCCAGAUAAUGCUCGGAAUAUUUUUCAAUGUCCAUUCCGCUGUGUUGAUUGAGGACGUUCCCUUCACGGAGAAAGAUUUUGAGAAUGGCCCCCAGAACAUAUACAACCUUUACGAGCAAGUCAGCUACAACUGUUUCAUCGCUGCAGGCCUUUACCUCCUCCUCGGAGGCUUCUCUUUCUGCCAAGUUCGGCUCAAUAAGCGCAAGGAAUACAUGGUGCGCUAGGGCCCCGGCGCGUUUCCCCGCUCCAGCCCCUCCUCUAUUUAAAGACUCCCUGCACCGUGUCACCCAGGUCGCGUCCCACCCUUGCCGGCGCCCUCUGCGGGACUGGGUUUCCCGGGCGAGAGACUGAAUCCCUUCUCCCAUCUCUGGCAUCCGGCCCCCGUGGAGAGGGCUGAGGCUGGGGGGCUGUUCCGUUUCUCCACCCUUCGCUGUGUCCCGUAUCUCAAUAAAGAGAAUCUGCUCUCUUCAG